GAUAAACGCUGGCGGCGCACAUAAGACAUGCAAGUCGAACGGACUUAACCAUUAGUUUACUAUUGGAGCGGUUAGUGGCGGACUGGUGAGUAACACGUAAGCAACCUGCCUAUCAGAGGGGAACAACAGUUAGAAAUGACUGCUAAUACCGCAUAUGCCUAGGUAUCACAUGGUACAAUAGGGAAGGAGCAAUCCGCUAAUAGAUGGGCUUGCGUCUGAUUAGCUAGUUGGUGGGGUAACGGCCUACCAAGGCGACGAUCAGUAGCCGGACUGAGAGGUUGAACGGCCACAUUGGGACUGAGAUACGGCCCAG
RNAcentral lists this ribosomal RNA (313 nucleotides) under uncultured bacterium. Its description in RNAcentral is "bacterial SSU rRNA". It matches the Rfam family "Bacterial small subunit ribosomal RNA", at positions 28 to 334 of the family's 1533-position model. The record is from RNAcentral.